RNAcentral lists this long non-coding RNA (379 nucleotides) under Homo sapiens (human). RNAcentral's name for it is "HSALNT0307879". Lineage: Eukaryota; Metazoa; Chordata; Mammalia; Primates; Hominidae. The record is from RNAcentral.
UUUCCUGUUUGAAUGUCUGCUUAGCCAGUGUGCUAAUCUAUCUCUUGGUCUAUUUCAAUGAAUGAGAAUACAAUAAGAGAUUGUUGGCAGAAUGGAGACAGACUGCACUCCCACCAUCUGGUGUAGCAAAGAUGAAGUCAGGCAUAUAUCAUAGAAGAUAGAGUGGAGAAAUAACAUGGCAUAAAUGUGCAUUGAGGGGCCACCUCUACUUCACUUCAGCUUCUGGAAAAAAUGGCCUUAACAGUAGAUUGGAAGCAGCAGCAAAAUUUUUGGCUAAACUUGAGAAACACCUACAUUGAAGCAUAAAGACAAAAAAAGAACUGAGCCUUAGUGCUUGUGGAGCAUUUUCAAGCAGCCUAGAAUAGAUGUAAUUAGAGGC